GUUCCUGUAGUUAAAACUCAAUAGCGACGGCUUUUCAGGCCGUAGGUCUCGGGUAAGGGCCGGGCGGGAACU
This 72-nucleotide transfer RNA is filed under the name Tregellasia leucops (white-faced robin). Its description in RNAcentral is "tRNA-Glu". It matches the Rfam family "tRNA". Rfam says of the family: Transfer RNA (tRNA) molecules are approximately 80 nucleotides in length. Their secondary structure includes four short double-helical elements and three loops (D, anti-codon, and T loops). Lineage: Eukaryota; Metazoa; Chordata; Aves; Passeriformes; Petroicidae. The record is from RNAcentral.